GUGCUCACUUUGGUAGCACAUAUACUAAAAUUGAAAUCAGAGAAGGUUUGGAUGGCCCCUGCUCAAGGAUGACAUGCAAAUUCGUGAAGUGUUCCAUAUUUUU
This is a non-coding RNA of Otolemur garnettii (small-eared galago), 103 nucleotides long. The record is from Rfam. NCBI's taxonomy places the organism in Eukaryota, Metazoa, Chordata, Mammalia, Primates, Galagidae.